AGCUUUACUUGAUCUCUUCAUCUUCUCUGAAAGUUGAGUAGCUGUAUAGAAAACCCGAAGAUGAAGGCAAAGAGUAGAGGGAAUGCAACAAUCACAACAGCAACCAUACCCAAGAAGCUAUGCCUAAAUCCAAAAUAGUUACUUACGAAUUCGGAAACAACCUCGCCAUCCUCGAGUUUAUCGUGAGUAUCUCCAAAUUGUGAAGCAAUCAAUCCAUACAAAGUCCACGCAACAUGGUUAAUCCAGUAGUACCAUCUCCACCAUACAUGAAUUCUCUGCAAAUACUAGUGUUAGAUCAUUAUACCUUGUAUUGGAGUUAGAAAGAGUAAAAUGGAUAGAGUGAGAACUUAUAGUUCUUGGGAUGAGAAAUCCAGAGAAAAGGUUCGAUAUUGAAUAAACUACAGAGGAAACUAUGGAUGCUAUGUUUUGAUUUGGCGUCAAACCUACGACCAUCAUUCCAUAAAAGGUGAAAUAUAAUAACGUGAAGUAUAUGAAGAACAUGUACCAAAAGAACUUUGCAGUUGUCCAUUCAAAUCCAAUCAUGACAUAUACUAUGACACCAUAUAUUAGUGACUGAAGCAAGACAUGGAAGCACAAUGGCGACCUGCAAAAUCAACAGAUCAACGUGACUAAAGAAAUUGAUAGUCUAUGAAAUAGUAAAGUUUUAGAAUUAUCUGAAAAUUCUCAUAAAGGGGAUUGGUUUUGUUAAAUGUAGUAAUAUAUAUUCUCUUGAUAUUUUGCCUUUUACAUUGGGUAGCAUAUCAUCAUGUAUUACGCAGUACAUUCUCUCUUUAUUUUCUCCUUUGUUGAAGAUUUGUGGGACUGAUAUCUAAGUAACACUUUUUUUUAAUCUUUACCGGGACAUUCCAUAUUAAUUACCCAAUUUGUUUAGAUAUAUGGAAGCGUGCUCUUAUGAAAUAUCUAGUCUUUUUCUAUUCCUAACAUGGGUUAUGUGAGAAAUACCUGUCCAAAUGCAUAUGGCAAAGCUGAAUACAUUCCCGCCACUCUUUCUCUGUAAAAGACAUUUCUUUCAAUGGAAACUACUGGUUGUACAGAUGAUGCAUUUAUUGACAUCCGAUCAGUAGACUUCAUAUGAGUUCUCAGUUGAAGUCUACUGAUUUGAAAAUGAGACCUGCUUGCACUUGGAUAAAUAUGAGUUCUCAGUUGAACUCAUAAAUUUAUUGACAUCUCCCCACGUUUCGUUAAAUGCAUAUGCAUUUGAGAGGAGAACAUAAGCUGAAUCAUCUGAAGGGGCCAGCUCAAGAAGACAAUGAGCAGUUCUCUUUCGGAUAUCAAAAUUCCUCUCCCCGCCCAUGGUAAGCUUUUGAGGAAAUCAUAGCAUUCCAAGAAACAAUAGUUUUGUUGUCUAAUCCAUCAAAUAUAAACCCACUUGAAUCGAAAUUGCCACACUACGCAUACCAAGAACUACGCAUACCAAGAAAUCAGGGAGCUCUUUACAAACUAAUCUGAAUCAAAUCCCAUAGUGAUAAUGUGAAAAUGGAGUGGAAUUCCGUACUUCAUAAGAUCCUUUAGAGCUGAGCAAAUACCAAGAACAUUCACCAUGGUAAUGUAAUUUGCAUUUAUUCCAGCUUCUCUCCUCAAGACAAAUGCCUGCAUUGCUUCUAGAUGCUCUUCAUUUUCAACAUGCCCUCCUAUAAGCAAGUCCCAUGAGAUCAAAUCACGCCUUGGGAUCACUCGAAAUACACAUUUGGCUUCACUCAUGGCAUUGCAUUCGCUAUACAUGGUUAUUAAAGAAUUACCAAGACGUAAGUUACCAAGGAGGUGGUUGUUGAUGAUAAAAGGCAUGGACUGCUUUGCCACCUAAUAGGGCUUCAGGAUUAGAACGUGCGCUCAAUGCAUUUGCAGAUGUCACAUAAUUUGGUUCUUUCUUUGAUCAAAUCAACUGAAAAGAGAGCUUCAAAGCAUCAGUGUCAUUUCCACUCCGAAUAUAGGAUGACAUCAUGAUUGAAACAAAUGAACCAAGACCACUACUGAUGGCAAGAGCACGUAACCCCUUCCCCAUUUCAAAUGAUUCACAUUGCUGCACGCACGUAUCAGACGGCAUAGCAUAGUAUAAUCUUUAAAAUUUCGCAUUCUAGCAAUACACUGCAACGAUUCUUUGCACGUUCUCGUGAGAGUAAACCGUUACCAUUGAAUCCCAUGAUGUUGUAGCUUUUAGUCUAAUUUGAUAUAAUAAACGCUCAGCAACUAAUCGCUAUCGCAAAAGAAUUCUGAUUGAAAGCAAACCCCUCUUCUCUCAUCUCCCGAUGAGCCCUUACUGCUUCUUCUGGAAGCCCGUUCGACGAGCAACCCACCUUCAAAUCUGUCCAAGAAGCAACAUUCCUCUCGGCAUCUCCCCAAAGAAUCUCUGAGCAUUAUCAAUUACCCCACGUUCACCUUACGAACGCAAUAACGCAGUUCCAACACGACAUUACUCGUCAACCCAAGUUUCAAAACCAACCCGUGAACUUCGAUACCGUGCCCUACCGCUGAGACCCACUUGUUACACGCAGUCACUAUGUUAGCGAGUAUGAACCCGUGAGGUUCGAAACCUUGUUCUCUCGCCUUUCUAAACAAUUUCAUUCCUUUGAUCAUCAAACCAGCUUUAAUACCCCAAGAAAUGGCAGUGUUAUAAGUAGCAGCAUUUCUUUUAGGCAUUUCAUCGAACAUGUUGAGGGCAGCUCAUGGGUUGAGAGAAUGGCGGAUUGAGAGGGAGUGGAUUGCUUUGGUGGUGAUUGGGUUGGAGAUCUCUGAGAAACCCUUUUGAGAGAAGCGAGAGAUUUCGGAGGUUGGGUGGUCGGCGAGGAUGUGGAGGGCAUUGGAGUUGGGUUCUGAGGUGCAUGACGAGAGAGGGGGGAGGGUUUGAAUAGCCCCUCAAAUCUUUCAUAUUUGCAAUCAGUCCCCAAAGUUUUCCUAUCAAUACUAUACUAAUAAAAUAAAAAUCUUGUUGCCUGUUUUUACCACUUGGCAAAUUCUACGAACUUUACUAUUUAAUAAGUAAAAUAAUUCAUUUUUGCACCA
Molecule: long non-coding RNA, 3021 nt
Organism: Asparagus officinalis (garden asparagus)
Lineage: Eukaryota; Viridiplantae; Streptophyta; Magnoliopsida; Asparagales; Asparagaceae
Exons: 2
Source: RefSeq, a predicted model, not a curated record